Molecule: long non-coding RNA, 1114 nt
Organism: Pogoniulus pusillus (Red-fronted tinkerbird)
Lineage: Eukaryota; Metazoa; Chordata; Aves; Piciformes; Lybiidae
Exons: 2
Source: RefSeq, a predicted model, not a curated record
GUCUGGGGUGGGAAGUCUGAGCUGCAGGGUCUCUUACAGCAGGCGUGAGGAGGGAUCCCUGCUGGGACAGGGGUUUCUGUGGUGGCAACUUCUCUGCUUGGAGGGGGUUCUGUGGCUCUCAGCUUGGCAAGUACUGCAUGGGGUGGGGGAUGUGCUAGCGACUGCCCAUGGCAGACCCUCAGGCCACUCAGGCAGGGCCAGGGGGAACAAAUGAGUACCGGCAGCCCCUGGGCAUCAGUGACGGACCUGUGUGGCCAGGUCUUCCUUCUCAUGCCCAGGGAGCUUUAGAAGCAGCAGGGAGGGACCAGACACGACACUAGUUCACUCCUCUCCUUACCACCUCUGUCAGUUAGUGCUAUGGUUUAAACCCUUCCAAAGCCCCUUGGUCCUCUGCUGCAUCCCUGAAAUGAGGGGGAGGGGACUGGAGAGAGCUAAUGCCUACCUUUGCUAUUUUCUGCCCGCAUCACCAGGCCAGAUUCCCUGCAGGGGUCUGUGGCUGCAGAACUUGACUUUUCACAGAGCUGUCCUGCCACAUCAGCCCUGACAAUGGCCUCAGGGGAACACGCUGCACUGUGGCCCACUGGUUUGGAAGUUUCAGACCAAACCUCAGCCUGCCAGGACAAGGACUGAGUCUUCAGGCAGCAAGUAUGAACAUAAACCCUGGGGUUUAGGAGAAGAACCCAGAACAAAACACAGUGUGGCUGUACCUUGCAUCACCCUUUUUGCAGCUGGUGUGCAGGCUCUCCAGCACCAGCCCUCUUCACGUACUGGAAGGCUGCUGAAAGGUCUUGGAGCCUUCUCCUCUCCAAGCUGCACAACCCAAACUCUCUCAGCCUGUCCCCACAGGGGAAGUUCUUCAGACAAAGGGUCAUUUUUGUGACCCUCUUCUGGACCUCCUCUAACAGCCUAAUGUCCUCCUUGUGUUGAAGGCACCAGAAGUGGAGGCAGUGUUCCAGGUGAGGUGUCAUGAGAACAGACCGCCUGCUUCACUGCAGCACUGGGUUUUUUUUUUAAUCUAACUAUACAAACUUCCCUCUGGAUUUUAACAGAUCAAAUCCUAGCACCUGUGAUUCAUUUGUGUGUCUGUGAGGUGAAAAUAAACAUCUUGGUCUUC